GGAUGUGAGGGCGAUCAGGCUGCGUCACCCCAUUGAUGGCCAGGGUUAAUUUGGCUGAUCUGGCUGACUAGACGUGUGUCCCCUUCCUCCCUCAUCCGCUCCAUAUGCAUCCCUCCCGAAGCCUCGCACUGGCGCUCAGUUGAAGAGGACGACCUUCCCGGAUAGAGGAGAAUACCGUUCUUCGGUCAAGGGUAUAUGAGUAGCUGCGCUCUCAUGCUAGAAUCUGCAAACAAGCUCCCAAAAAGGAUAAUUUCAAAUAAGUUGUUUUUUUUUUAACUGAACCUUCAGUUAGCAAA
This is a non-coding RNA of Pteropus alecto (black flying fox), 296 nucleotides long. NCBI's taxonomy places the organism in Eukaryota, Metazoa, Chordata, Mammalia, Chiroptera, Pteropodidae. The record is from Rfam.